GAUGAACGCUAGCGGCAGGCUUAAUACAUGCAAGUCGAACGGCAGCACAGCAGAGCUUGCUCUGUGGGUGGCGAGUGGCGGACGGGUGAGGAAUACAUGGGAAUCUGCCCAGUCGUGGGGGAUAACGUAUGGAAACGUACGCUAAUACCGCAUGCGCCCUACGGGGGAAAGCCGGGGGCCGAAAGGCCUGGCGCGAUUGGAUGAGCCCAUGUUCGAUUAGCUAGUUGGCGGGGUAAAGGCCCACCAAGGCGACGAUCGAUAGCUGGUCUGAGAGGAUGAUCAGCCACACUGGAACUGAGACACGGUCCAGACUCCUACGGGAGGCAGCAGUAGGGAAUAUUGGACAAUGGGGGCAACCCUGAUCCAGCCAUGCCGCGUGAGUGAAGAAGGCCCUCGGGUUGUAAAGCUCUUUUGUCCGGAAGAAAAGCAUUCGGUUAAUACCCGGGUGUUCUGACGGUACCGGAAGAAUAAGCACCGGCUAACUUCGUGCCAGC
RNAcentral lists this ribosomal RNA (494 nucleotides) under uncultured bacterium. RNAcentral's name for it is "bacterial SSU rRNA". It matches the Rfam family "Bacterial small subunit ribosomal RNA", at positions 28 to 512 of the family's 1533-position model. The record is from RNAcentral.